AGUGAACGCUGGCGGUAGGCCUAACACAUGCAAGUCGAACGGCAGCACAGUAAGAGCUUGCUCUUACGGGUGGCGAGUGGCGGACGGGUGAGGAAUACAUCGGAAUCUACUUUUUCGUGGGGGAUAACGUAGGGAAACCUACGCUAAUACCGCAUCCGACCUACGGGGGAAAGCAGGGGAUCUUCGGACCUUGCGCGAUUGAAUGAGCCGAUGUCGGAUUAGCUAGUUGGCGGGGUAAAGGCCCACCAAGGCGACGAUCCGUAGCUGGUCUGAGAGGAGGAUCACCCACACUGGAACUGAGACACGGUCCAGACUACUACGGGAGGCAGCAGUGGGGAAUAUUGGACAAUGGGGGCAAGCCUGAUCCAGCCAUACCGCGUGGGUGAAGAAGGCGUUCGGGUUGUAAAGCCCUUUUGUUGGGAAAGAAAAGCAGCAGGUUAAUACCCCGCUGUUCUGACGGUACCCAAAGAAUAAGCACCGGCUAACUUCGUG
RNAcentral lists this ribosomal RNA (492 nucleotides) under uncultured bacterium. RNAcentral's name for it is "partial 16S ribosomal RNA". It matches the Rfam family "Bacterial small subunit ribosomal RNA", at positions 29 to 507 of the family's 1533-position model. The record is from RNAcentral.